CAGUGGUAACUAACUGUCUGCUGACCAAAUCAGGUGCUUGGUCACCUGUGCCUGCCCUUUCCCCAGCAUCCCACCUGUGCUGCGUUGCACUGAGCAGCCAGUGCCUGGCGGUGGGGAGCGGGGCAGCCUCGUGUUUGAUAUGCCUGCUGCGGUUGUAGAUCGAGCCCUUUGUUCUCUGGCAUCUCUCCAUUUGAAAAAUCAUAGGAUCGCCAUCAUCAUUCGUUCCAUGGCAACAUCUUUGUUAAAGAGAGGAGAAGCCGUCACGCUGGCAAUAGAAAGGUACAGAGCCCUCCUUCCUGCCAUUCAAGAGUGAUCCCUUGAAAACUUUUUGGGAAGCCCCUGUUCUGACACUCUCCAAGUGAGUACCUGUACAACAUGCUGGUUUUUUAUCUGAGCAAGGGUCCUUUCGAAGUUACUGAGGGGUGGGUCAUCUCUGCACAGCAGAGAGAGAGACUAUCUUCUGUCAGCUUUGGAAGGUCUGCUACCUGGUGGUAAACCCACAGAGUGGGAAAUGGCACUGGACUUAUAGAAAGGACCUUUGCAGGUAAUUAUGGAGGAGCAGUACUGGCUCUUGGGUAGGCACACAAAGCCUUCCUGUCCUGAUUUGCAGAACUCUUCUAUUUUUACUGUAUUCACAAGGAGCGUCUGAUAUGCUGUUUAGUAUUAUGUGUAUGACAGUGCUCCUGGAGUCAUCAUUUUUCAAAUCCAAAGGCUUUUGGCAGAUUUAACAAGAUUUUUUCUCCUUCUUCAAGCAGGGAAAGUAGUUUUCUUUUUUAUAAAUAUUCAUUUUUAUAUCCACCCAAAACUACUUUCUCUUUUCUAGGCCUUUAAAGGCCAAGGACUCUAAAAACUGUGUGGACACAUUGUGAAAACUAUAAUGGUAAAACAAACACUCUAUGGUGCAAUUGCUGAUGGAUGAUAUUUCCAUGAGACAUUACGUAAAACAAAAAAGGAAGUGUUAAGCUUUUUGCUUUUCUUCCUGGAAGCCAUAAAUCUGGAAACCCUGUUUAUAGUUCUUUCAGCACUGUGUAACUCUGAUACUUUGAAAUUUCAUGGUAUAAAAAGUAUUGCUCAUGCUACAGCUUGUGGCUAAUUGCUGGAAUAGGUGGAAAUGACAGGCCACUAAUUUUUUCUCUCUCCUGUCCUCUGAGUCUGCUUUAGAUCUCAUAUUCCUUCUGGCAUAAACCAGAGUGGGAUGUAUGGGGUUGUUGACCAGGAUGGUCUGUGUGUGUUCAUAUAAAGGAGGGAUGCUUUUGAUCUUUGUAUUUGCAUGCUAAACUAGGCAUAUUUUAGCCCUCACGUUUUGGACUUUG
Molecule: long non-coding RNA, 1313 nt
Organism: Anser brachyrhynchus (Pink-footed goose)
Lineage: Eukaryota; Metazoa; Chordata; Aves; Anseriformes; Anatidae
Source: Ensembl